CGGGGCCAUAGCUCAGCUGGGAGAGCGCCUGCUUUGCACGCAGGAGGUCAGGAGUUCGAUCCUCCUUGGCUCCACCA
This 77-nucleotide transfer RNA is filed under the name Pseudomonas aeruginosa. Its description in RNAcentral is "transfer RNA-Ala". It matches the Rfam family "tRNA". Rfam says of the family: Transfer RNA (tRNA) molecules are approximately 80 nucleotides in length. The record is from RNAcentral. Lineage: Bacteria; Pseudomonadati; Pseudomonadota; Gammaproteobacteria; Pseudomonadales; Pseudomonadaceae.